Molecule: ribosomal RNA, 219 nt
Filed under: uncultured archaeon
Lineage: Archaea
Description: partial 16S ribosomal RNA
Rfam family: Archaeal small subunit ribosomal RNA
Source: RNAcentral
AACUGGGGAUAAUACCGGAUAUUAGGCUAUGGCUGGAAUGCUUUGCCUUUGAAAUGUUUCUUGUAUUCGCCUAAGGAUAGAUCUGCGGCUGAUUAGGUCGUUGGUGGGGUAAUGGCCCACCAAGCCUAUGAUCGGUACGGGUUGUGAGAGCAAGAGCCCGGAGAUGGAACCUGAGACAAGGUUCCAGACCCUACGGGGUGCAGCAGGCGCGAGACCUCC